AAUAACAAAGAAAGAAGAUGCGAAGAACAGAACUAACGUUUCUUUUUUUUCUUCUUUUUUUUCUUUUGAGACAGAGUCUUUCUCUGUCAUCCAGGCUAAACUGCAGUGGCAUGAUCACAGCUCACAGCCUCAACCUCCCAGGCCCAAGCAAUCCUCCUGCCUCAUCCUCCCGAGUAGCUGGGACAACAGGGGAUCACCAAUGGGGAGCUGAUAUACUAAAGCUCUCCAUGGGAAUGAAAGUUAAGAAGGGUACCAGGGAGGCCAUUGGCACACAGAGCAGUCAAUAGUAUUGAACAAGAAAAAGCUGCAUGACUUUUAGACCAGAGGAGUGAGGACAGUACUUAGAGGAGGCACACAGCCAACACGUCCAGUUAACCAGGAUAAAUGAUUUAAAAGAGCUUUGUAAAAAUGCUGAACAUAAUUUGCCAUCACCAAAUAUAGGAAUCUCUGAAGCCAACUGUCUUGCUCAUAUGAAAUGCAAUGACAAGAUCCAAAUUGUGAGAAAAGGAAUCCAACUUGGUUGGAACAGGAAAGAAACAAAAACAAAGAAUCUCUGGCCCAGAGUCAUUUCUGUUUGGAAAAAUUUCUGAAGAUUAAACUUAGGCCCUGAGUGCACCUAACAGUGCAAUCUGCAGGCUGCCAAUGCGUAGCCGUGGAACUAAAUCCAGCAGCUCAAG
Pongo pygmaeus (Bornean orangutan) is the source of this 677-nucleotide long non-coding RNA. RefSeq lists it as uncharacterized. The transcript has 4 exons. Lineage: Eukaryota; Metazoa; Chordata; Mammalia; Primates; Hominidae. The record is from RefSeq and is a predicted model, not a curated record.